GGGGCUAGGGCUCAGUGGUGGAGCACUCGCCCGGCACGCGUGAAGCACUGGGUUCGAUCCUCAGCACCA
This 69-nucleotide transfer RNA is filed under the name Marmota monax (woodchuck). RNAcentral describes it as "tRNA.Ala". Lineage: Eukaryota; Metazoa; Chordata; Mammalia; Rodentia; Sciuridae. The record is from RNAcentral.